Molecule: transfer RNA, 87 nt
Filed under: Prochloron sp. SP5CPC1
Lineage: Bacteria; Bacillati; Cyanobacteriota; Cyanophyceae; Chroococcales; Prochloraceae
Description: tRNA-Ser
Rfam family: tRNA
About the family: Transfer RNA (tRNA) molecules are approximately 80 nucleotides in length. Their secondary structure includes four short double-helical elements and three loops (D, anti-codon, and T loops). Further hydrogen bonds mediate the characteristic L-shaped molecular structure. tRNAs have two regions of fundamental functional importance: the anti-codon, which is responsible for specific mRNA codon recognition, and the 3' end, to which the tRNAs corresponding amino acid is attached (by aminoacyl-tRNA synthetases). tRNAs cope with the degeneracy of the genetic code in two manners: having more than one tRNA (with a specific anti-codon) for a particular amino acid; and 'wobble' base-pairing, i.e. permitting non-standard base-pairing at the 3rd anti-codon position.
Source: RNAcentral
GGAGAGGUGGCAGAGUGGUUGAAUGCGGCGGUCUCGAAAACCGCUUCACCUUUAGGGGUGACGGGGGUUCGAAUCCCCCCCUCUCCG